RNAcentral lists this ribosomal RNA (491 nucleotides) under uncultured bacterium. RNAcentral describes it as "partial 16S ribosomal RNA". It matches the Rfam family "Bacterial small subunit ribosomal RNA", at positions 29 to 506 of the family's 1533-position model. The record is from RNAcentral.
AGUGAACGCUGGCGGUAGGCCUAACACAUGCAAGUCGAACGGCAGCACAGUAAGAGCUUGCUCUUACGGGUGGCGAGUGGCGGACGGGUGAGGAAUACAUCGGAAUCUACUUUUUCGUGGGGGAUAACGUAGGGAAACUUACGCUAAUACCGCAUACGACCUACGGGUGAAAGCAGGGGAUCUUCGGACCUUGCGCGAUUGAAUGAGCCGAUGUCGGAUUAGCUAGUUGGCGGGGUAAAGGCCCACCAAGGCGACGAUCCGUAGCUGGUCUGAGAGGAUGAUCAGCCACACUGGAACUGAGACACGGUCCAGACUCCUACGGGAGGCAGCAGUGGGGAAUAUUGGACAGUGGGCGCAAGCCUGAUCCAGCCAUACCGCGUGGGUGAAGAAGGCCUUCGGGUUGUAAAGCCCUUUUGUUGGGAAAGAAAAGCAGCAGGUUAAUACCCCGCUGUUCCGACGGUACCCAAAGAAUAAGCACCGGCUAACUUCGU